RNAcentral lists this ribosomal RNA (393 nucleotides) under uncultured bacterium. RNAcentral describes it as "bacterial SSU rRNA". It matches the Rfam family "Bacterial small subunit ribosomal RNA", at positions 505 to 898 of the family's 1533-position model. The record is from RNAcentral.
GUGUCAGCAGCCGCGGUAAUACGUAGGCAGCAAGCGUUGUUCGGAGUUACUGGGCGUAAAGAGUGUGUAGGCGGUUCUCUAAGUUCCGUGUGAAAUCUCCCGGCUCAACUGGGAGGGUGCGCGGAAAACUGGAGGCCUUGAGUAUGGGAGAGGAAAGCGGAAUUCCUGGUGUAGCGGUGAAAUGCGUAGAUAUCAGGAGGAACACCUGCGGUGUAGACGGCUUUCUGGACCAUCACUGACGCUGAGACACGAAAGCGUGGGUAGCAAACAGGAUUAGAUACCCUGGUAGUCCACGCCCUAAACGAUGCAUACUUGGUGUGAGCCGUUCAUUCGGUUCGUGCCGGAGCUAACGCGUUAAGUAUGCCGCCUGGGGAGUACGGUCGCAAGGCUGAA